RNAcentral lists this ribosomal RNA (761 nucleotides) under uncultured Achromobacter sp. RNAcentral describes it as "bacterial SSU rRNA". It matches the Rfam family "Bacterial small subunit ribosomal RNA", at positions 9 to 765 of the family's 1533-position model. Lineage: Bacteria; Pseudomonadati; Pseudomonadota; Betaproteobacteria; Burkholderiales; Alcaligenaceae. The record is from RNAcentral.
GAGUUUGAUCCUGGUUCAGAUUGAACGCUAGCGGGAUGCCUUACACAUGCAAGUCGAACGGCAGCACGGACUUCGGUCUGGUGGCGAGUGGCGAACGGGUGAGUAAUGUAUCGGAACGUGCCCAGUAGCGGGGGAUAACUACGCGAAAGCGUAGCUAAUACCGCAUACGCUCUACGGGGGAAAGCAGGGGAUCGUAAGACCUUGCACUAUUGGAGCGGCCGAUAUCGGAUUAGCUAGUUGGUGGGGUAACGGCUCACCAAGGCGACGAUCCGUAGCUGGUUUGAGAGGACGACCAGCCACACUGGGACUGAGACACGGCCCAGACUCCUACGGGAGGCAGCAGUGGGGAAUUUUGGACAAUGGGGGAAACCCUGAUCCAGCCAUCCCGCGUGUGCGAUGAAGGCCUUCGGGUUGUAAAGCACUUUUGGCAGGAAAGAAACGUCAUGGGUUAAUACCCCGUGAAACUGACGGUACCUGCAGAAUAAGCACCGGCUAACUACGUGCCAGCAGCCGCGGUAAUACGUAGGGUGCAAGCGUUAAUCGGAAUUACUGGGCGUAAAGCGUGCGCAGGCGGUUCGGAAAGAAAGAUGUGAAAUCCCAGAGCUUAACUUUGGAACUGCAUUUUUAACUACCGGGCUAGAGUGUGUCAGAGGGAGGUGGAAUUCCGCGUGUAGCAGUGAAAUGCGUAGAUAUGCGGAGGAACACCGAUGGCGAAGGCAGCCUCCUGGGAUAACACUGACGCUCAUGCACGAAAGCGUGGG